CAUUUCUUCUUUCACAAAUUCCAAUUUCGAAGAGAUAUAUAGCGAAAUCUGUUUUCUUUUAUUGUGCCUGUGUGCAUCAUUCAAAAUUAGAGAAUGUAAUUUUGAAGUAUCAAGUCUCAAUUCAAGAUUAAAAAUGAAUAGAAUAUAGAAUUACGAGGGGAGGGAGGGGUAGGACCUUUAUCGGAACUCCAGGAUCCGGGAAUUCUAUUUCGAAUUUCGGGUAGUCGGGAUUUGAUUUUUUUUUUAAUUCGGGACCUCGCCGG
Molecule: long non-coding RNA, 263 nt
Filed under: Mytilus galloprovincialis (Mediterranean mussel)
Lineage: Eukaryota; Metazoa; Mollusca; Bivalvia; Mytilida; Mytilidae
Source: RNAcentral